UAUGGUAGAAAUAUUCCGACU
RNAcentral lists this non-coding RNA (21 nucleotides) under Caenorhabditis elegans. Lineage: Eukaryota; Metazoa; Nematoda; Chromadorea; Rhabditida; Rhabditidae. The record is from RNAcentral.